UGCAGUCGAACGAACUCUGGUAUUGAUUGGUGCUUGCAUCAUGAUUUACAUUUGAGUGAGUGGCGAACUGGUGAGUAACACGUGGGAAACCUGCCCAGAAGCGGGGGAUAACACCUGGAAACAGAUGCUAAUACCGCAUAACAACUUGGACCGCAUGGUCCGAGUUUGAAAGAUGGCUUCGGCUAUCACUUUUGGAUGGUCCCGCGGCGUAUUAGCUAGAUGGUGGGGUAACGGCUCACCAUGGCAAUGAUACGUAGCCGACCUGAGAGGGUAAUCGGCCACAUUGGGACUGAGACACGGCCCAAACUCCUACGGGAGGCAGCAGUAGGGAAUCUUCCACAAUGGACGAAAGUCUGAUGGAGCAACGCCGCGUGAGUGAAGAAGGGUUUCGGCUCGUAAAACUCUGUUGUUAAAGAAGAACAUAUCUGAGAGUAACUGUUCAGGUAUUGACGGUAUUUAACCAGAAAGCCACGGCUAACUACGUGCCAGCAGCCGCGGUAAUACGUAGGUGGCAAGCGUUGUCCGGAUUUAUUGGGCGUAAAGCGAGCGCAGGCGGUUUUUUAAGUCUGAUGUGAAAGCCUUCGGCUCAACCGAAGAAGUGCAUCGGAAACUGGGAAACUUGAGUGCAGAAGAGGACAGUGGAACUCCAUGUGUAGCGGUGAAAUGCGUAGAUAUAUGGAAGAACACCAGUGGCGAAGGCGGCUGUCUGGUCUGUAACUGACGCUGAGGCUCGAAAGUAUGGGUAGCAAACAGGAUUAGAUACCCUGGUAGUCCAUACCGUAAACGAUGAAUGCUAAGUGUUGGAGGGUUUCCGCCCUUUCAGUGCUGCAGCUAACGCAUUAAGCAUUCCGCCUGGGGAGUACGGCCGCAAGGCU
Molecule: ribosomal RNA, 875 nt
Filed under: Lactiplantibacillus plantarum
Lineage: Bacteria; Bacillati; Bacillota; Bacilli; Lactobacillales; Lactobacillaceae
Description: bacterial SSU rRNA
Rfam family: Bacterial small subunit ribosomal RNA
Source: RNAcentral